GCAAGCACAUUUACACACACUGGCGCACAGCUGUUUAAAGACACACGAUCCCCUUUUCUAGGUGCUAGAUUCUGGUUGUAAAUCGUCUGCUGUAAUCAACUGGUGAAGCCCAGAGAUGCAUGGGUUUUAGGGAAAAUCUGGAGGAGCCUGAAUGGUCCAGCAGGCACCUCUUUGGGAACAGGACCAAGAACCCUGGGAAAGGAUAGCAGGCUCCUUCUGUGUCAGGCAUAUGGAAUACACCUGCCCCCAAAAAGAAAGAGUUCUGGAGAAAAAUGAGUGCCUCAACGAUGGAAAUCGUUUAAGAUUUCAAUGGCAGACAUUCUAAGAAGUUGUUGCAGUUCGAAGGACAGUGUCUGAAAAGAAGGCUCUGGAGUUGGAAACUCUGCCAAAGCCUGAACUCAGAUAAGAACUGGGUUGAGUCAGAAACACACUGGGGAUACGAUUUUCCUACACAGCAAGGCAGCUUGGAGCAACCAGAGCCUUACUUCAUCUUCACUCAUGGCUUGCUCACUGUGUGAGGCAUGCCUGCAAGCCAUGACUGCUGACCAGAACGCCUCUGAAGCCACAACAACUCACCAGGGCCCAAUCUCACUGAUACUCUGCUGCUGUUUUGUUCAAUAAGCACCCCAAAAUGCGCUGGGGGCUCUGAAGCUUCUAAACCAUUCUAUCAGGCCAGCCAACCCUGAAGAA
Molecule: long non-coding RNA, 690 nt
Filed under: Mus pahari (shrew mouse)
Lineage: Eukaryota; Metazoa; Chordata; Mammalia; Rodentia; Muridae
Description: predicted gene 27240 (MGP_PahariEiJ_G0002264.1)
Source: RNAcentral